AUUGAACGCUGGCGGCAUGCCUUACACAUGCAAGUCGAACGGUAACAGGUCUUCGGAUGCUGACGAGUGGCGAACGGGUGAGUAAUACAUCGGAACGUGCCUAGUAGUGGGGGAUAACUACUCGAAAGAGUGGCUAAUACCGCAUGAGAUCUACGGAUGAAAGCAGGGGAUCGCAAGACCUUGCGCUACUAGAGCGGCCGAUGGCAGAUUAGGUAGUUGGUGGGAUAAAAGCUUACCAAGCCGACGAUCUGUAGCUGGUCUGAGAGGACGAUCAGCCACACUGGGACUGAGACACGGCCCAGACUCCUACGGGAGGCAGCAGUGGGGAAUUUUGGACAAUGGGCGAAAGCCUGAUCCAGCAAUGCCGCGUGCAGGAUGAAGGCCUUCGGGUUGUAAACUGCUUUUGUACGGAACGAAAAGCCCUGGGUUAAUACCCUGGGGUCAUGACGGUACCGUAAGAAUAAGCACCGGCUAACUACGUGCCAGCCGCCGCGGUAA
RNAcentral lists this ribosomal RNA (498 nucleotides) under uncultured bacterium. RNAcentral describes it as "partial 16S ribosomal RNA". It matches the Rfam family "Bacterial small subunit ribosomal RNA", at positions 30 to 523 of the family's 1533-position model. The record is from RNAcentral.